GUGGAUUGUAAAUAUGCAAUUAGCAGCUGGAGUAGAAGUAAAAGCAGAAAAUGUCAACUGUCAAGCAGCUCCAUUGAAAGACACAUGAUGCUUCAAGCUAAGACAGAAAGACAAAAGCACCUACCAACAAGGAUGAAGGAUCCUAGGGAGGGGGUAUUGCCAACUGAGCAUCUGAGUGAUGUCAAGGUCCCAGCUCUGCUUCUUGGCCACUGUACCAGGGAUCAGCAGGCUGGGCAGUGGAUCCCUCCCUUCUCCAGAGCACCAUCUCCUCCAAUCCUGAUUCCUCUGUGCCACUCAGACAUUUGCACCACACCUCUUCUUCUGCCAGGAUACAGAAAUGCAGGGAAGAACAGGUAAGGAAAGGGUUAAAGAAGAAAAGACAUCUUUUCCAUGUCAC
Molecule: long non-coding RNA, 397 nt
Filed under: Manacus vitellinus (golden-collared manakin)
Lineage: Eukaryota; Metazoa; Chordata; Aves; Passeriformes; Pipridae
Description: lncRNA (ENSMVIG00005000830.1)
Source: RNAcentral